This 622-nucleotide long non-coding RNA is filed under the name Coturnix japonica (Japanese quail). Its description in RNAcentral is "lncRNA (ENSCJPG00005008576.1)". The record is from RNAcentral. Lineage: Eukaryota; Metazoa; Chordata; Aves; Galliformes; Phasianidae.
GCAUCACAGAAUCCAAGACAGCUGUUGCUUUAAUGGCAGAACGUGCAAAAUGACUGUUGGCCUCAACCACCCUUGCAAAAGUGGUCUUAUAAGCCUAAGUGCAACACAGCCAUUGUGAGGGAGCAAUGAUUCUGUAACAGUGCUUGUGGACUCUUCAGACCCAAGAAGACUUCAAAAGGAAGACUAGACUUAUCUAAUUUUGCUUCGGUUUAAUUGUUCCAGACAGCUAUUUUCUGUUAAUUCUGAUGCCUGUUGAUUGUUUCAAAACUCAUCACAUGAUUGCUAGCUGGAAGGACUCUUGGCUUCAAGUAACAGAACGUCCUUCAUCAGGGACAACAAGAUGGAGCUGUGGCCCUUGUACACAAAGGUAACAAUAUUUGGAAGACUACCAACUCUACAACAAACAGCAUGGGACAAUUCUCAGAUGGAGGUGGAAAGACCAGCCAGACUCAAGCAACAAAAUCCUACAGAAAGACUGUGUAGGCAGUUGCAAAACUGAGAGUUCAAUAAGGCAGUAAAUUAUACUUCUCCACAUCAGGUGAUGGAUUUUGAUUCUUUCACUUUUAUCAGAUUAUGCUGAGUACAUGAGAAAAUAAAGGCAGAAAGGAUGUUUCUUGUCUCA